CAGAAUUUCUUUCUAGUCAAAACUUGCUCAGAAAUGAGCUUUAUAAGAGUUUGCUGAGAGGAAGGAUAAUGGGAAGAUGGCUGAAGGAUCAAAAGGAGAGAAAAAAGCAGAAAAUUAGGACUCAUAAUGCUCAGUUGCAUGCUGCAGUAUCCGUGGCAGGCGUAGCUGCUGCCGUUGCGGCCAUUGCAGCUUCAAUAGAGUGUACAUUGUAGAAUCAAUAGAGUGUACAUAGCUGUCAUAAAGUUCUACACUUACCAUAUGAGUGGUUUCUAGCUUAGCUUGCAUUGUUCAAGAAAUUUUAGAAAAUUCUAAGGAUGCUACUCUACUAAUAUUUCUGAGACAUGGAUGUAAUUUUCACUCCAUAUGGAUGUAUAACUGUAUAUUAUUGAAUAAGUAGAGUUAUAUGCAAAGAAAUAUUAUAUAGAUAAUCUAUUUUU
This is a non-coding RNA of Arachis ipaensis, 437 nucleotides long. The record is from RefSeq and is a predicted model, not a curated record. NCBI's taxonomy places the organism in Eukaryota, Viridiplantae, Streptophyta, Magnoliopsida, Fabales, Fabaceae.